UUCAGUAACUUCUUUACAAUUAAUUCCUCCACCUAAAAUGUCGUCCAGAUAUGAGCAGGAUGUUGUAAUAUGCACAGCAGAUUCCUCCUCAUGCAGCAUGUUGAUAGAUGCCAAACUGAUUCACAUGGUUGCUGCCACAUCUUUGUUAAUCUAGACGGUUCAAUAGUUAGUUAGUAGGGUCAAAAAUGUAGUAAGUCAAGUAGGGAUUGCUUAUAAAUGGAGAGUUGGGGGUUGGGAAUUAUUAUUCACGUGUAAGUUGAGUCAGGGGGAGAGACCCGGCCUCUCGAAUAGCCUGAGAUUUGUUACCAAUUCUGUUCAUUUACUCCUCCAAUAAGAAUUUACUUUGAUUUUCCAUUGUUUAUCAAUUCAAAUGAGCUUCAACUGUCACUGCAGGUUAGGGGUUCUAUCAAAAUGGUAUCAGAGCACUAUCCUGGAGAUGAUAUUUGGGACAUUACAUCUGACGAAGAAAAGGAAUUAGAAAAUCGGGUUAGUAAUCUUGAAGUGAAGAUUGAAAAAAUGAAUUCAGAAAUAAGAGGGGGAAUAGAAGCCAUGAAAUUUGAGUUCCAGAGAAGUUUUGCAAUAAUGAUGGAGAAGAUGAAUAUGAUGUUGAUGAAAAGGGAUGAAGGGGAGGAAAAAGGUCCAGCAGCGGCAUCUCCUGCAACCAACUCGAAUCCCCCAAAAUUGAAGGAAGUUGCAAUGAAUGCGGCUGAAACCACUAUGGAUGCUGAGACUCCAUUAAAAUUCAAAGUGGCAGGAGAAAGUGAAGCCGUAAGGAUUUACCAUGAGGAGUCUGAGAAAGUAGAAAACAAAAGUCGACCAAUCGAAAAACCGGUGUGUGUGGGAGAUAGUCUUCUCGGCAGGUUUUUAAGAGAGGAAAUCCGUCAGCCAUUGAGAAGCGGGGAGGAAUUAAAGAAGGCAGAGAACGGUGAGACUAAGGAGGAACUGUCAACAUCGGAGGAGAAGAAUUCUGUGGAGUCGGAAUGAAAGGAGAAGGGACGGGUCGCCCAUUCGCUGGAAACCACCCACACAUCUGAUUUUCCAUCCGAUUCUGAUGAAAUCUGGGGAAGUAGAGAUACCCGAAGUCGAAGCAAUGAAACCACCAUCAUAGAAAAUCGAAGAUCAAUUUUCCCCCGCAUCUCCACGCUCACUACACCAGGAUCAAUUGGAGUCUCACUGUCCGCAUCGUCGGCGACCCAGACAAUGUACUGGAGAAAAUUUCACCCAUGGGCUGAAUUCGUUGGAUAGGGUUGAAGUUUGGAGGAUGUCUCAAGGUUUGGGCCAUAUAAUUAAAUGGGCCCAGUGGGUGGAAGAAAGCAAUGACUCUAAGAAACAGACCCACUUACCUUACCGUCCAUAUAGGAGCAAAAUUAAUAUACAUGGCCCAAGUUCCCUUGACCACUUCAGUCCAUUCCAAGUUUCCAAUGAAGUCGCGUGCAGUCCUAGAUCGACUGCCAUCACAGUGCUCUGGUGGGUGACAACUAACAAGGGGGUGUCAGAAUUUAAAAAGCUCCAAUGGAAAGGGAAGAAAGGAGGUGCAGUCAACUACACACUCAUUUCGACGAGGCAAGUUUAAAAAUCGGACAAUUUGUGGGUAGGGUCGACAGGCUAUGGAGUUGCCUCGGAUACAAUAGUUGAGCGAGUUGCUCGAAUAUAUAAGUUCGGUCACUUCAAAAGGCUGAAACGCCCCUUCUUCGCGGUGAUCAAGAUUGGAGCUCUUACAAAGGAAAUUGUACGAUUGUACAAUGAAUUCAACAGCCUCCACCUUGAGGACAAGGUGGAUUUUGAGACGGCGGAUAAUGAUAGAUGCCAAACCGAUUCACAUGGUUGCUGCCACAUCUUUAUUAAUCUAGAAGGUUUAAUAGUUAGUUAGUAGGGUCAAAAAUGUAAUAAGUCAAGUAGGGAUUGCUUAUAAAUAGAGAGUUGGGAGUUGGGA
RNAcentral lists this long non-coding RNA (1933 nucleotides) under Olea europaea (common olive). RNAcentral describes it as "long non-coding RNA (OEUR_LNC006155)". The record is from RNAcentral. Lineage: Eukaryota; Viridiplantae; Streptophyta; Magnoliopsida; Lamiales; Oleaceae.